RNAcentral lists this unclassified non-coding RNA (27 nucleotides) under Mus musculus (house mouse). RNAcentral's name for it is "oocyte_clustered_small_RNA8413". Lineage: Eukaryota; Metazoa; Chordata; Mammalia; Rodentia; Muridae. The record is from RNAcentral.
CUUCCCUCCAGACUUGACUACUCAUGA